AGAGAACAGAUGAGGGAACGUAGGAACACUGGGGACUCUCCCCCAACUUACCAGGCCCCAGAAGUUAUUUCCCAGGCAGCGUUUUGACCAAGAUUGACAGAAAAAACUCACUAAGGGAGCCCCAAGGAAAGAACUUCGGUGAGCAAGACUUGAGGAAGAGGGCGUUAGGCCGCUGUGGUCCAGGACACGUCAGUUACAUGUGAAUCCCUUCUGGCAAUUCAGCAAUAGCCAUUGUAACUUUCAGACCACAUGGAAAUUUUCCACUUGGAAAUUCACACGUUGUUUCCUCUUGGUUUAUCAGUAGGCAGAAGGAUGUUGCCUGAGCUGCCCGGCUGCUGCUCCUUACGCAUGGAUCGUGACGAUCUGGAGAGGAGAAGCUGCCAGUCUAGAAAACUCUGCUCUUGCCUGCUAAACCAAGGAACACAUAGUGCUGACAGCUUUGAAUCGCCUUGCAGGCAUGAAAGUAGAAGUUAAGUCAGGCCUGACACUAAAAGCUGCUUUUUCCAGCAGGGAAAGCCCCUCUUGUAUAAUUACUGAAGCCAGAAGUUGUUUAAAUAGGAAAAACUUGUUUGGGUUGUUUCUUGAUUUUUGUCGGUUUGUUGCUGAGAUGGCUUUAUAUUUCUUUGGGAAACAUUUCAGUCCCCUCUUGAUAGCUGAAUUUGAAUACAUUUUUUUCAAAGCGAUGAGUUAAUGCCCCAUGUUGUUUAUAAUUAUAAGGAUCAAUGGCUGCCCUAGGCCCCCAUAAUGCCAGGGGUCCCUUUAUUGAGGAAAAGAAAACAGAAAAUCAAGCCACUUUGCCUGGAGGGCUACCACAGGCUACUGGUUUGAGAGAGGUUUUCACUCUCUAAUGAGUGUAAUAUUAAAAUUAGGUGAGUUCAGGAGGUUUUAUUUUUGAAGUAUUUGAACUAUGUAUAUGGGCAUCUGCAAAUGCCAAUCAUAUGACUUUCGAGGCCACAAUGCAUUGUUUGUGCUCACACAUAUGCUGACAGCAUUUGUUUUAUGCACCUGCUUCUUCUCCAGUCCCAGUUUCCUUCGAUCUUUUGAUUUUGUUUUAAUGUGCAGGCGUUUGCUGAAGUGUAACCACUCAGAGAGCAUCUGGGCUCGCAUGGGUUUUAAAACUGAAUCCACAUUUUAAUGGUUUCUCACCUCUCCAUCUGGAUUAGAAAAAAAAAAAAGAAUCCAUCAUAGUAACCAAUAUUAAUAGUUUUUCACAUUCCAAAGUGCUUACAUUUGCUCCUUGGUUAUAAUCCUCAAUUUGGAGUUUGGCUCCCUGCUUUGUCACAGAUUCCCACAGGCCUUACAAUAAUGGUUAACAUUUGCAUAGCACUUUUUAGAGCCUCUUUCAAUCAUUAAUUAAUUCAUUCAUAAGAUGUCUUUUCACGAUUUUCAUUUGAUGCAUUCAUAAGCAAAAUGGGCCAAGCAGAGGUUAAAUGACUGGGCCAGGGCCACCUGGGGAUUUGGUUAAGUCCUUUCAUUCAUUUUUGGGAAUUCCCAGGAAGAAAGAGACAUUUUAAUUCCAGGGAGCAGCAAAAUCUGCAACUUCAGUAUGAACUUGGACAAUCUGAGGAGCUAGUUGUUCUGGGGGGAGUGUUAGAUUUUCAAGUAGAAAUGAGAUUGCUGUGACUUCUUAGGGACAUGGUGACCUCCCUGAUCCACACAGGCUCAGGCCAAGCCUUGGAACAGAGCUGAGGUGUCCAAACUUCUCUUGGUGAGAAGCUACUUCUUGAAAUCUAAGAAGUAUUGCCCAGGAAGGAACUGGGAUGCUGAUGGUACAGAAGAAGACAGGACAAAAAAGGCUUUGGGGAGUUCCCAUCCUGGCACAGUGGUUAACGAAUCCGACUACAAACCAUGAGGUUGAGGGCUCGAUCCCUGCCCUUGCUCAGUGGGUUAAGGAUCCAGCAUUGCCGUGAGCUGGGGUGUAGGUUGCAGAUACGGCUCGGAUCUGCGUUGCUGUGGCUCUGGUAUAGGCCAGUGGCUACAGCUCCGAUUAGACCCUUAACCUGGGAACCUCCAUAUGCCGCAGGAGCGGCCCAAGAAAUGGCAAGAAGACAAUAAAUAAAUAAAUAAAUAAACAAUCCAAUUGAAAAAUGGGCAAAAGACAUGAAUAGACAUUUCUCCAAAGAAGACAUACAGACAGCCAACAGGUGCAUUAAAGAAAAAAAAAAAAAAAAAGGCUUUGGGUCUUGGUCUUCUCCCCAGGAGACCUUUCCAAAGAAGUGGGUGGCAGCUGACGUGCAGAGCAAGAAGUAAAGGUUUAAAAUUGAUCAUAUGCAUUUUACCUCUUCAAGAGCCCAAUGGGGGAAGAUAGGGAUGAAGAAACACAGGCUAGGAAGGCUCUCUGAACGUCUCACCAAAUGCAUAGGAAAAUCAUGCUUUCCCUCUCCUUCACGCUUGGGACCUGCCUCUGGUACACCACAGGGCUUCAGUGAGGAGCUGCUUAAUUGGCUGUUACCCUGAGCUCAGAAUACAUCUGAGCUGGGAAGAAAAGUUACUGCUCUGGAAGACGAACAAAGAAAAGAUGGAAAAGAGAGGUCUGGGGUGAGGAGGUGUGUCUACGCCGGGGAAGUGAAUUGGAGAGGAGAAGCAAGCUCCUAGACAGUAAUAACCACUUCUGAGAUAGUCACUAGGUGGCCUUUAUCCAAGUGUCCUGAAAAUACUAAUUGGGACUUUGUCUUGGUUUCCUGGAGCCUGCUCUAACAAAUGACCACCAACAUGUGGCUGAAAACAACAGACAUUUAUUCUUUUCUGGUGCAGGAGACAAGCAAUGCCAAAUCAAGGUGUAGACAGGCGGGGAGGGAAGAUGGGUUCCCAGGCUCUCUAUGGGCAUCUGGUGGCUGCUGGCAGCCUCUGUGGCUUGCUGAUGCCUCAGUCAGCUCGGCCUCCAUCUUCUCCUGCUGGCUUCCCUGUGUGUCCGUGCCUGUGCGUCUCAAUCUCCUGUUCUUUCUCUCAUAAGUACUCUAGUCAUUAGAUUUAGGGCCCACCCUAAGUCCAGGAUGAACUUAUCUCUCCUUCAUCACAUCUUGCAAAGAUUCUAUUUCCAAGUAAGUUUUCUUUCGCAGGCAUAGGGGCUUAGGACUUGGUUGUGACUUUUGGGGAAACACCAUUCAACUCACUAAGGAAGUCAUUCUUCAAAUGUUGCAUCCAACCUCUAGACACACCUGGGUCUCUCCAGUGAAUCCGGGAAGACUGACAAUGAGAUUUUUCUGGGGGUGGAGUUGACAAAUGCUUCCUUCUGCUUUUCUCCUUCAUGGUCCUAUCCAGCUAGCUCUACCAUCCACUAGUUGGAGGAAUUGCUUGGAAGCCCCCAAGAAUCCUCGCUGCACACGGUAUGCACAAGGGAAGGAGCUACCAUUUCAUUCUGUGCACAACAGCAGGCAGACACCUGCUCUUCCUCUUGGCUCUGCCUCAGACCUUAGCUGGUCCAUCGGGGGGAUGGGGGGGAAGAUCUCCAAUUCCUGGAUAUCUGGGCCUUGUGGGUAGAAGGGCAUUCUUUCUUUGGCCAUGGUAAUGCAUAGGACACCAAUCUGGGAUCCCUGGAAAUGUCUUUUUACUCUCUUGAUCCUCUUGUUUCUUCUCCACAUCUCCUCAAUCUGCUCUUUAGGGAUUUGCACACUCCUCCCAGCUAGUUAGUAACUAUAUGCCUCAUCCUGAGAUUUUCCUUCUCUCAUGCCUUCCAUCGAAUCAGUCCCUGGGUGGUAUUGAUUCCCCAACUUUCUAUUUCCUAAGACAUCCCCUCCUUUGCAUCAGCCAUCUCUCUCAGGCCCCCAUCACUGUCUUGUGAACUGUUGGCAUCAGCUGUUUGCAUGGUUGGUCUGCUUCCAGCCAAUCCUUCCUUCCAGUGCACCUGCUACUCUACUGCAAUACUAAUGCUUCUGCCAGUGGCUUCCUUGGCCAGAUUAAUCCCUCAGCUCUUUAACAGGCCACAGAAUCUUUAUGACAAACCCAGUUGGAGUGCUGAAUCUGCUGUCUGUGAAGCAGACAUGCCUUCUUCUAAAAGGACCUCUGGGUGCCCCAAUUCUGAGGUGGGUGUUCUAGUACACAGCAGACAACACCUCCACACAGCCCAGCACUUAGCAAAACUAUACAUCCUCCUGCUGCUAAAUAAUCAGCAAUACCCAAGAAACUUCACUUUUUAAAUAUAGGGCAUGGAUAUUUUGUGAUCUGUUUGGCUUUAAAAAAAACUUACCUUCUUCCUUUUCCUCCUGAAAUCACUCUCCCAGAGCCUACUGUGUAUGCUGGAUUGUGUUUCUUGCUUGGCCGUAGAGAUCUUUUCCACCUAGUGGUCAAUCAUUGGUCCCUUGACCUUUGCUUAUUGAAAAAUUUACCGCUAAAGCCUUAUAUUUCUCCCAUUUCCCACAAGAGGUGUCCUACCACUUCAGAAUUGUUUGGAAGGAG
Molecule: long non-coding RNA, 4395 nt
Filed under: Sus scrofa (pig)
Lineage: Eukaryota; Metazoa; Chordata; Mammalia; Artiodactyla; Suidae
Description: lncRNA (ENSSSCG00035034517.1)
Source: RNAcentral